AAAGAAACUGUAAUGGUCAGGCUAUUGUUUUUCUUCUUCCUCUCUCGUUUUCUUCUCCUUUCUGUUUUUCUUUCCCUUUCACCGACUCUUUUCUUAACAGCCGCUAAAGGUUAUUUAAUUAGAUUGUUAUACCCACAUUUAGUGCGAAGGUCGGCUUUAUGGCUUCAUCAAGAGAUUAGUUCCUAUCGGGAAUGUUGAUGGAUUUACACAAAAAUAUAUGGAAAAGAGUUUCUAACACCUAACAGCACCUGUAAAAGAUAGAGUCAGACUCAAAUUAGGAAAUAUAAAUAUAAAGUAUCUAGGAAUAUUUUAUGUGCAAAGAACAUUUUUCCUAAAUCCAGUAGGAUAUCCUAAGAUUUUCAGGACUCAACUUUAUAAAUACCAUCUUUAUUCCAUAACAAAAUCUCUCAUCGAAUAUUCUGCCUCUGUUGUGAACCAAAUUGGUAGCAACAAUUGGAUUUUGGCCUUUGAAAACCCUCAAUUACAGUAUGGCUCGAAACGAAGAGAAAGCCCAGUCGAUGCUAAAUCGAUUCAUAGCCCUAAAAGCGGAAGAAAAAAAGAAGCCCAAAGAACGCCGCCCUUUUCUUGCCUCCGAGUGUCGCGACCUCGCCGAGGCCGACAAAUGGCGUCAACAAAUCAUGCGAGAGAUCGGCCACAAGGUCGCCGAGAUUCAGAACGAUGGCCUCGGGGAACAUCGACUUCGCGACCUUAACGACGAGAUCAAUAAGCUUAUACGAGAGAAGUCGCAUUGGGAACGACGUAUGGUUGAACUCGGCGGCCCGAAUUACGCCAAACAGGCCCCUAAAAUGACGGAUUUAGAAGGGAACAUAGUGGAUGUUCCGAACCCUAGCGGACGUGGCCCUGGGUAUCGGUAUUUCGGAGCCGCGAAGAAGUUGCCGGGAGUUAGGGAGUUGUUUGAGAGGCAGCCAGAGUUGCGAAAGAGGAGAAGGAGAGAUGAUAUUAAUAAGAAUAUUGAUGCGAGUUAUUAUGGGUAUAGGGAUGAAGGUUUAGCUAGAGUGGAGGGGCCAACAGAGGCGAAGAUGAGGACUGAAGCCGAGGAGGAGUGGCGGAGAGUGGAGGAGAUUAGGAGAGAAGCAAGGAGAGGGGCGAAGGAGGUGGUUACCGUGGGAGCUGCUGCGAGAGAGGUUUUGUUUGAGGAAGAGGAGGAUGUGGUGGAGGAGGAGAGGAGGGAGAGGGAGGAGAAAGAGAGGAAGGAUAAGGAGAGGGAAUUUGUCGUGCACGAACCCUUGCCUGAUGAUAAGGAGAUUGAGAGAAUGAUUGUGGAAAGGAAGAAGAUGGAGCUUUUAAGUAAGUAUGCGAGUGAAGGAUUGUUGGAGGAGCAGAGUGAAGCGAUGGACAUGCUUAAUAUCUAUAGGUAGAAUAGAUGUUUCAGGUAUAUUGAUCAAUUCUCUAGGUGCCUUUAUGUUGAAUACAAGAACAGUGGGAUUGAUGUUCAGUGUCAGGUUGCAUUAUAUGUGGCAACAAAGACGGCAUCAAUCAAAAGACCGUCUUUCUUUGUUCCAUCAACAAACGGGUAUGCUCAUGCAGCAAUGCGGUGGAUAGGCUAUGAAACUCGUUGCACGACCUACUGGCCCCAUUCCAUCCUCUGGGGCUUGGCUUAUUCACUGCCAGGGAGUGUGGUUGAUGCAUGGCGUUUGUGCUUUUGUCUUGGCGUUCAAAAGAGGGGCAACUCAAAGAUUCUAAGGAGGAGGAAUGAAAACAGAUUGUUGAGUCUGUUGUAUGUUGUGUUCAAGGAGUUGAAUAUUUUAGGUGUGUUGUAAUUAUUGGAAAUAACUCCAAAAUUUUUGAAAAAAUAAAUUAAGAAUACAACCAAUUGAUUUAA
Gossypium arboreum is the source of this 1843-nucleotide RNA transcript. RefSeq lists it as uncharacterized. The record is from RefSeq and is a predicted model, not a curated record. The transcript is spliced from 2 exons. NCBI's taxonomy places the organism in Eukaryota, Viridiplantae, Streptophyta, Magnoliopsida, Malvales, Malvaceae.